Molecule: ribosomal RNA, 492 nt
Filed under: uncultured bacterium
Lineage: Bacteria
Description: partial 16S ribosomal RNA
Rfam family: Bacterial small subunit ribosomal RNA
Source: RNAcentral
AUUGAACGCUGGCGGCAUGCUUUACACAUGCAAGUCGAACGGUAACAGGCCUUCGGGUGCUGACGAGUGGCGAACGGGUGAGUAAUGCAUCGGAACGUGCCCAGAGGUGGGGGAUAACGAAGCGAAAGCUGUGCUAAUACCGCAUGUGAUCUGAGGAUGAAAGCGGGGGACCAGGCAGCAAUGUUUGGCCUCGCGCCUUUGGAGCGGCCGAUGUCGGAUUAGGUAGUUGGUGGGGUAAAGGCCUACCAAGCCGACGAUCCGUAGCUGGUCUGAGAGGACGACCGGCCACACUGGGACUGAGACACGGCCCAGACUCCUACGGGAGGCAGCAGUGGGGAAUUUUGGACAAUGGGCGCAAGCCUGAUCCAGCAAUGCCGCGUGCGAGAAGACGGCCUUCGGGUUGUAAACCGCUUUUGUACGGAACGAAAAGCCUCUGGCUAAUACCUGGGGAUGAUGACGGUACCGUAAGAAUAAGCACCGGCUAACUACGUG